This 551-nucleotide small RNA is filed under the name Pongo abelii (Sumatran orangutan). Its description in RNAcentral is "processed transcript". The record is from RNAcentral. Lineage: Eukaryota; Metazoa; Chordata; Mammalia; Primates; Hominidae.
AUCCCAGUCCCUGGAAAUCCACUCACUUGGUCCAGCUCACCCCAGCUCCAAGCCACUGGGACCCAGUCUCCAGGGGCCUGGCUGUGGGUGGCGGCCACUCCUGAGUGAGCAAAGCUCCCUGUCCUGCCUACAGCAGCAGCCUGUGCCCAGCUGUGUGUGUCUUCAAGUGCUGCCCACUGCCCUGCUGGCUCCAGAAGGUGUCCCCUCCAUAGUAACAGGGUCAGGGGACGACCAGAGCUGCACACCAGCCAGGUGGCUGCCAAGGCUGAGAUUCAAGCCUGCCUGGCCCUGCAGAUCCCUUCCUGGCCCACGUAGUCACCACCUGUGUGGGUACCUACCGUUCUGGUGUCGCCCAUCACUGGCUUCUGGGCUCCAACAGGAAAGGUGGUCUGGGAGCCCAGAAGCCCAAGUGGCCUCCCCGACAGCGUCCCUGACCUAGCGCUCAGACCCACAGCUCCAAGACACCCAGCAUGAGCAGCCCAGGCGGGCUCCACUGCAGGGGUCCCUUGACAGCACAGGAGCUGAGCCUCCUGGGUCCAGAUUGCGACCCC